Scophthalmus maximus (turbot) is the source of this 950-nucleotide long non-coding RNA. RefSeq lists it as uncharacterized. Lineage: Eukaryota; Metazoa; Chordata; Actinopteri; Pleuronectiformes; Scophthalmidae. The transcript is spliced from 3 exons. The record is from RefSeq and is a predicted model, not a curated record.
CCAGAAACUAAUAUCGAAGUGGGGGAGGGGAACAAAGACCCACGAGUACAUUACCAACGACAGAGAGAGUGACACAUCUCCUUACCGGCAGGUUCCGGGUCGCAGAACGAGCAGCGCUCGGUCAAAGAUGGCAGGGGCUUGCUGAGGCGUAGCAACACUGCCAGCUUCGCUUUCCCUUGCUUAGCCCAUGAGUAAUGCUCCGACCAGAGCGCAGGGGCUGGGCCAUGAGGGUUCAUUAACCCGGCUGAAGCUUGAUGAGCUGGAAAACUAACCUAAACUUCAAUGUUUUAGCCGAGCAAAAGCUCCACAGAGGACAGUAAUUUCACCCAGUACGGCAAGUGCAUCUGAGGACCACUGUACGUUGGCCUGAGUUGACAAUGAUGUUGGCGUGGGAGAGAAUGCACACACUGACCGCGAGCUGACCGCUGCGUUUACGACCCAGGGGCUCCACUUCCAGAUGACUGCAGACAAGAGUUUCACUUGACCUUCGCUGUUAUGACCAUCAGGCCGAGACCUGACCUGUCCGGUGUGGUUCACAGGGACAUUUUAGGUCAGUGAUGGAGAGUUUCGGGGAGAGCCGGCCUGGUGCCCGGUGAGCCUGAAAGUGAUAGUACACACAUAAAUCAGUCUGACGCGGGGCCAUAACUUCUCAAAGAUAAAAGGUGCAAGGCCCUGACCCUCUCGGUCCAGAGCUGAGACAAAGUUUCACAUGAACAGCUUGUGGUUCACACGCUUAGUUUUGGGGUUAAAGAGAUGGUAUGUCAGGCUACAGCUUAGUGCAACUACAUUCUUUAAAAACAGCAACUGGGAAAAAACGUGUAAAUGAGUAGAUCGAUACCGCUCUCAUUUAUGUCCUUUACAUUUUAAGCAAGAGCAAAGAGGUGGUUAUCUUAGCCUUUCAUAAGACUGCUUUGUCUUCACAAAAUGAAUAAAACAGAAAUGGAGCACUC